GGAACGCGUCGCAGCGUUGUGACGUCACAUCGUGGGAUCGUGAUAAGAGUCCUAUUCCCAUGCUGUGUAUGAAAUGAAAGAAGUACAUAGACAUGUACCGACAAACAUAGGAUUUUCUGGAUGGACCUGAAAUCAUGUCUCAAUAAUGGUUGGAGGUCAACAAAAUGGACAUUGGCAUGUGAAUUUCGCAUCUGACUUCCACAUACAGUGUGGGUAUAAGUGGCAGCAGGUGCACCACAUUAAUUCAUGGUUUUGCUGAGGAGCCGAGCCGGUGACCCGGCAGGUCAGCGAUGGUACAGUAGCUGUGGCGAUGGGAUGUGAUAUCUUCGCUCCCUCCAUCAGGGAAAGAGGGUUUCAUAUGUAACCGAGAUGUUCCUUUCAUUUGGUUACUCUCAACAUCACAUUGCUGAUGACCGACAAAUUGGGAUCCCUACCAACAGGUGCUGCCCCUCCAGUGCCCCUGUGUAGGCAUCCUGAUACUUCCUAUCGACUUCACUCGUGGCGGGAAUGUUGCUGGAGACCCAAGGUAGUGCAUUUUGGUGCAAUAUGGACACGCGACAUGUUCAGAAUGAAUAAACUUUAAUAAACUACAGAACAGCACAACAGUCCUCCUAAUAAUCACCAACCAUUUGA
Molecule: long non-coding RNA, 633 nt
Organism: Carassius gibelio (silver crucian carp)
Lineage: Eukaryota; Metazoa; Chordata; Actinopteri; Cypriniformes; Cyprinidae
Exons: 3
Source: RefSeq, a predicted model, not a curated record